This 526-nucleotide ribosomal RNA is filed under the name uncultured bacterium. Its description in RNAcentral is "bacterial SSU rRNA". It matches the Rfam family "Bacterial small subunit ribosomal RNA", at positions 545 to 1070 of the family's 1533-position model. The record is from RNAcentral.
CCGGAUUUAUUGGGCGUAAAGCGAGCGCAGGCGGUUAGAUAAGUCUGAAGUUAAAGGCAGUGGCUCAACCAUUGUAGGCUUUGGAAACUGUUUAACUUGAGUGCAGAAGGGGAGAGUGGAAUUCCAUGUGUAGCGGUGAAAUGCGUAGAUAUAUGGAGGAACACCGGUGGCGAAAGCGGCUCUCUGGUCUGUAACUGACGCUGAGGCUCGAAAGCGUGGGGAGCGAACAGGAUUAGAUACCCUGGUAGUCCACGCCGUAAACGAUGAGUGCUAGGUGUUAGGUCCUUUCCGGGACUUAGUGCCGCAGCUAACGCAUUAAGCACUCCGCCUGGGGAGUACGACUGCAAGGUUGAAACUCAAAGGAAUUGACGGGGGCCCGCACAAGCGGUGGAGCAUGUGGUUUAAUUCGAAGCAACGCGAAGAACCUUACCAGGUCUUGACAUCCCGAUGCCCGCUCUAGAGAUAGAGCUUUACUUCGGUACAUCGGUGACAGGUGGUGCAUGGUUGUCGUCAGCUCGUGUCGUGA